AUAGUCCUACAAUACUAUUAAUGAUUUUGAGGAAAAGUGUAACUAAAAAAAUCUCAAUCUCAAAAUCUGUAUAAAGCUCUCUUAAUUGUCUAGACAUAAAUAACUGCACUGAUCCCACUGAUGGAUAACAGCCCUAGACUGUUCUCAUCUCUAUAAAAUUAACCAUGUGUAUAAGGAUAAGCAGAAUCCACAUGUGUUUUAUUCAUUGUAUUGCAGGUGGGGAUGUUCUUAGCAUUGCUGCAGGAGCUAAAGAACAGCCAAGCCUAAAAACACAGUAGAAUGAUUAGUGGAUGGAAAGAUAAGUAUUUGCCCAUUUAAAAAGGAAAAAUCCUGGGUUGUGAUUAUAGUGCCCUAUGUAUCACAGAACUUACCAUUUGUGGUGACAGAAAAAGGCUAUAUCUCGUACAUUAUUUUAGUCAUCUCCUUACACAUUCACUUUAAUAUUUAUGAAUUUUUGUCUCUUCCAGUUGUAUGUUUCUUAAUGCAAGCACAAACCCUAUUUGCUGGAAAAAAUAACGUGACACAACCUUUUACUUUGACAAGUAGAACUAGACUUUGUAAAUAGAGUUUGCAAAUAAACUUUGCAUGCCCAUGGGAUGUUGAACCACAGAACAAUGUUGUACCGUUCACGCAUUAAAAAAAAAGGUAACAGACACGUGGUAGUCCACAGAAUGUUUUCAGGAUGGAGAGCAACAGUCAACCUGUAGCCUAGAAGGUCGGGGAGCUGCUGCUGUUAAACGUUCUAUGAAAAUGUGUAACUUUGAGUAAUACAGAGGUGUUUGGUAUCAGACAUCUGCUGUUUGAUACGCCAGUUUUGAGCGUAACUGUUUUAGAGGUAACUAGUCUCAGACGAAUAGUCUCCACUGUCUUUCUGUUACUGAAGAAACUUGCUCACUAAGAGUUGACUCAGCAAAGGAGGAGUUGUUCCUGGACCAUGUUCCUGGAAGCUCAUGCUGCACAAGUUGCUGUCAUGAAUAAUGCCACAAAAUUAAGUAUGUGCAAGUGUCCAUGUGAUCAAGGCAUAAAGCAACAGUGGGUGGGGAAGAGAAGUAAUAUGACAAGGUAAGCAUCUUCUCUAGGAAGUUGCAGUUUUGGAAGCUAAUUUGUGUAGUCAGGUACAUAGGCCUUUUUAAACCUGUAGUGGUUUUGGUAAGCAUGGGUCCUCUGCACUGUUAACAACAUCAGGACUGUAGAGUUUAUAUUUUUCUUUGCGCCCGAGUAGGCACUGUCUCAGUGUAGAUCGGCAUAAAUCAAAUAGAAAAUUUCUGAGGUAGGAAUUCAAGAUUAAUUUAAAUGUACAUUCAGUAUAAGAAUUUUCUCAGGGCUGAUCUACCAUGUUCAACAGGUACAUGAUUAAGUCUGUUAAAAAACAAAACUGUGAUGGACAUUGGGUUGGUGUCAAUAGCUGGUUAUAGCUGUUAAUAAAGAACACUUGCUACCUACAAAGAAAUCAAAGUAGGUUUGUAGCCAUCAAGUAAUAAACAUUCAUGGUUAACCCCCUGCUUGUAACAGGCAAUAUCGUGAUUGCUUUCUGAUGUGUGAACUUGGUCAGUUUGCUGCAGGUCUCUUUUCAUUCAUUGUUUGCUAAAUUCUCUGGAAUUUUUAGACCUUUUGAGUACUUAACUCUUGCAGUGGUUGAGAAGAGCUGGAAAGUCAGGAGCCAUUCAAUAUCCCAUAGGCUAUGGGCCUCGUUUCAAUGUAAGGGCAAGGGACUAGGUUCAAGACACAGGCAUGAACAACCACAACGAAGAACGUCCUACGCUCAACUCUUUUUAUCCGAGAUUCACUGAUAUUUUUGUCGCCAUCUGUGUAUUACAGAUGGGGAAAAUACAUUGUGUUCAUAUAAGAAAUAGUUGUUGUAGAAUAAACUACUAUUCCUCCUAA
Long non-coding RNA from Cygnus olor (mute swan), 1884 nucleotides. RefSeq lists it as uncharacterized. The transcript is spliced from 2 exons. The record is from RefSeq and is a predicted model, not a curated record. NCBI's taxonomy places the organism in Eukaryota, Metazoa, Chordata, Aves, Anseriformes, Anatidae.